RNAcentral lists this transfer RNA (62 nucleotides) under Dicrocoelium dendriticum. RNAcentral describes it as "tRNA-Glu". The record is from RNAcentral. Lineage: Eukaryota; Metazoa; Platyhelminthes; Trematoda; Plagiorchiida; Dicrocoeliidae.
GUUGAUGUAGUGUAUUUAGCAUGAUGGUUUUUCGUAUCAUUAGGAAUUUGAGUUAAUUGUUA